This 586-nucleotide ribosomal RNA is filed under the name uncultured bacterium. RNAcentral's name for it is "partial 16S ribosomal RNA". It matches the Rfam family "Bacterial small subunit ribosomal RNA", at positions 355 to 1375 of the family's 1533-position model. The record is from RNAcentral.
UGGGGAAUUUUGGACAAUGGGCGAAAGCCUGAUCCAGCAAUGCCGCGUGUGUGAAGAAGGCCUUCGGGUUGUAAAGCACUUUUGUCCGGAAAGAAAUCCUUGGCUCUAAUACAGUCGGGGGAUGACGGUACCGGAAGAAUAAGCACCGGCUAACUACGUGCCAGCAGCCGCGGUAAUACGUAGGGUGCAAGCGUUAAUCGGAAUUACUGGGCGUAAAGCGUGCGCAGGCGGUUUGCUAAGACCGAUGUGGAAUCCCCGGGCUCAACCUGGGAACUGCAUUGGUGACUGGCAGGCUAGAGUAUGGCAGAGGGGGGUAGAAUUCCACGUGUAGCAGUGAAAUGCGUAGAGAUGUGGAGGAAUACCGAUGGCGAAGGCAGCCCCCUGGGCCAAUACUGACGCUCAUGCACGAAAGCGUGGGGGAGCAAACAGGAUUAGAUACCCUGGUAGUCCACGCCCUAAACGAUGUCAACUAGUUGUUGGGGAUUCAUUUCCUUAGUAACGUAGCUAACGCGUGAAGUUGACCGCCUGGGGAGUACGGUCGCAAGAUUAAAACUCAAAUGAAUUGACGGGGUCAUAGCUGUUUCCU